Erigeron canadensis is the source of this 456-nucleotide long non-coding RNA. RefSeq lists it as uncharacterized. NCBI's taxonomy places the organism in Eukaryota, Viridiplantae, Streptophyta, Magnoliopsida, Asterales, Asteraceae. The record is from RefSeq and is a predicted model, not a curated record. The transcript is spliced from 4 exons.
AAAGCAGAGAUCCUCUUAAAAUAGGGUUUCCAAAUGUAUGGGCUAUGAGAUUAGUACGUCAACUAUUAGUUUGGGAUCCAGAGGAUCGGUUGACUGUUGAUGAUGCUCUGAGGCAUCCUUAUUUUACACAUCAUACAACCCAAUGAUAUACACAAUGCUCCACAGGUCCAUGGUUUUUAGAGGCAAAUUUUUCAGUGCAUAUGUACAAGUAACUAACCACAUUGUAAAUACUUGUAGCGCCAAUUAAUACUUACAAAUAACAACCGACGACAGCUUUAAUUACUUUUUCACUGGUUCUACAUGUAUAUAAUUCAAUAUAUAUACAGUAUAUCUAUAUAUCAAGCCUUCUUUAUGUCUAUGGAUCAUGAAAUGCUACUAGUGAAAUGUGUAGUGAAUUCGGGAAAAGAAAGUAUAAAUUGUUUUAAAUUUCACAUUAAUGAAGUGAUUUUUUUGGCC